This 438-nucleotide ribosomal RNA is filed under the name Pseudomonas aeruginosa. Its description in RNAcentral is "bacterial SSU rRNA". It matches the Rfam family "Bacterial small subunit ribosomal RNA", at positions 44 to 468 of the family's 1533-position model. The record is from RNAcentral. Lineage: Bacteria; Pseudomonadati; Pseudomonadota; Gammaproteobacteria; Pseudomonadales; Pseudomonadaceae.
UUGCCAGAGACGUCGUCAAUCCAGCGUCUCUCACUCAUGAAUGGAUCUUGCUCAAGCAAACACCGGCGGACGGGUGAGUAAUGCCUAGGAAUCUGCCUGGUAGUGGGGGAUAACGUCCGGAAACGGCCGCUAAUACCGCAUACGUCCUGAGGGAGAAAGUGGGGGAUCUUCGGACCUCACGCUAUCAGAUGAGCCUACGUCGGAUUAGCUAGUUGGUGGGGUAAAGGCCUACCAAGGCGACGAUCCGUAUCUGGUCUGAAAGGAUGAUCAGUCACACUGGACCUGACACAGGGUCAACACUUAUACGGGAGGCAGCCUUGGGGAAUAUUGGACAAUGGGCUAAAGCCUGAUCCAGCCAUGCCGCGUGUGUGAAGAAGGUCUUCGGAUUGUAAAGCAUUUUUAGUUGGGAGGAAGGUCAGUAAGUUAAUACCUUGCUGU